UUAAAUAUUUACAUGGAAUGAUUUUGCUAAUUCUGGAAGUUUUAGAUUUCUUGAAAUAGGUUCUUCGGUAAAUAUUUUAAAGAAAAAAAAGCUUUGUUCGUAGGGAAAAUAUAUUAGUCCUGGACUUUUUUGUUCUCUCAAAAUUUUCCGUCCCAAAGACAAAACCUAGCAUUAAUAUCCUCUUUUUCUCUAUUUUUCUGCAGUCCGCCUUCUUGGUUUUUGAUCGAUUUGUUAUUGUUUGAUAUUUAGGUGUAUGGUUUAGAAGAACAAACACUAAAAAUCGAUGAUAUAUCCAUGCUUCGAUUUAUAACAAGAUGAUGCUUCGAUGUGCCAUUGGUUUUCUGGGAUAAAUGUAUCCCGUGCUUGGAAAUCAUUACAUAAAUGGGUCUGGAGGGUAUAAAAGAGCACCAUUAAUUAAUAACAAGAUAAAACACAAGCAAGGUAAGAGAAUCUAAAUGUAACUUGGCAAGUAAUACAUACAGGCAACUAAGUAUGUUUCAAAAUGUCUCAUAUGCGUGCAUUUGCACUAAACAUAUACUUAUAUUAAUUAGAGAAAACAAUAACCUUUCCUGCAUAUCCAUAUAAUACAUGCUUCCAAUACUGUCUCCAUAUACAACUUAUCACUUCAGUUUCUUGAGAGUAUUUGUUCAAACAAUUCUUGCUUCAAAAAUGUAGUGGCUAAAAAUGUAGAGUAUGGUAUGCUUGAAAUGGAUGACGUAUCUAUUGGGGGUUCGUUAAUUUGACACAUGGAAUUCAGAUUGAGCUAAAAAGAAAAAUGCUAGAAUAAGGCUUUACAUGGCCCCGCUAACCAGUGCUUGCCUACAAGGAUACUUUUUGAGCUUUCCUGCCUGCGUACCUUUUAAGUGCUGAAACUUCUUUUAUCUUAGAGAGCCGAUCUGAGUAGGAUGGUGAUCAGGCGGCUAGGGUUUUGGUUAUCUUUUUUUUUUCAGAGAGGAAAGAGUUUUUUUUAGUAAUGACAAGUAUUAUAUUGCGCAUAUCAUGUUAAAAGUAUUAUAUUGCGCAUAUCGUGUCUAAGCCACAUUCACCCACUUUUCUUCAAAGGCCCUACAUAUCAUAUAUGAUAGAUCCGCUGUAACAUGUUGUUUGUUAUUUUUGGGUUGCCUUCAACUUUUUCGGUGUGUAUAAUUGAAUCAAUAUUUUGUCAA
Long non-coding RNA from Papaver somniferum (opium poppy), 1166 nucleotides. RefSeq lists it as uncharacterized. The transcript is spliced from 3 exons. The record is from RefSeq and is a predicted model, not a curated record. Lineage: Eukaryota; Viridiplantae; Streptophyta; Magnoliopsida; Ranunculales; Papaveraceae.